Molecule: ribosomal RNA, 318 nt
Filed under: Triticum aestivum (bread wheat)
Lineage: Eukaryota; Viridiplantae; Streptophyta; Magnoliopsida; Poales; Poaceae
Description: partial small subunit ribosomal RNA
Source: RNAcentral
AUGCAGGAUAUGGCGCUGGCGAUGCAACACUCUUACCUUCUGGUGGUAUUGCAGUCCGAUUCUUCAGAGGCCUUGUCAAGUUUGUCAAAUACUGCCAUAGUUCGUUCGGCGUAUGGCCAGAUAGUCCUUCAGAUUAAGGAUCUCCUUGGUAGUAGGGAGAUUUUUCCUCAGAAAAUUAGUCGUACUCAAAAUAGAGUUGUUGAUCGGUUGGCCAAUUAUAGCCGAUCUAAGCGAGCCACCGCUGUGUGGCUACGCUCGGUACCACCUUGUAUCAAGGGUUGGUUGCCUCUUAACUGCAACUCUAUGAACUUGCAAUAA